RNAcentral lists this ribosomal RNA (503 nucleotides) under uncultured bacterium. RNAcentral describes it as "bacterial SSU rRNA". It matches the Rfam family "Bacterial small subunit ribosomal RNA", at positions 31 to 507 of the family's 1533-position model. The record is from RNAcentral.
AGGAGAACGCUGGCGGCGUGCUUAAGACAUGCAAGUCGAGCGGGGAUAUUGAAGUGGCUUGCCACGGAGAUAUUCUAGCGGCGGACGGGUGAGUAACACGUGGGCAACCUGCCCACCUGACUGGGAUAACACCUCGAAAGGGGUGCUAAUACCGGAUACGCCUUUACUGUUGCAUAGCGGUGAAGGGGAAGGCGGCGCAAGCCGUCACAGGUGGAUGGGCCCGCGGCCCAUUAGCUAGUUGGUGAGGUAACGGCCCACCAAGGCGACGAUGGGUAGCCGGCCUGAGAGGGCGGCUGGCCACACUGGGACUGAGACACGGCCCAGACUCCUACGGGAGGCAGCAGUCGGGAAUCUUGCACAAUGGGCGAAAGCCUGAUGCAGCGACGCCGCGUGAGGGAUGAAGGCUUUCGGGUUGUAAACCUCUGUCCCUGGGGACGAAGUCCCACACAGGAAAUGGUGUGGGUUUGACGGUACCCUAGGAGGAAGCCCCGGCUAACUACGUG